UACGUAGGGUGCAAGCGUUGUCCGGAAUUAUUGGGCGUAAAGAGCUCGUAGGCGGUCUGUCGCGUCUGCUGUGAAAACUCAGGGCUUAACCCUGAGCUUGCAGUGGGUACGGGCAGACUAGAGUGCGGUAGGGGAGACUGGAAUUCCUGGUGUAGCGGUGAAAUGCGCAGAUAUCGGGAGGAACACCAAUGGCGAAGGCAGCUCGCUGGGACGUGACUGACGCUGAGGAGCGAAAGCGUGGGGAGCAAACAGG
This 253-nucleotide ribosomal RNA is filed under the name uncultured bacterium. Its description in RNAcentral is "partial 16S ribosomal RNA". It matches the Rfam family "Bacterial small subunit ribosomal RNA", at positions 524 to 776 of the family's 1533-position model. The record is from RNAcentral.